CGGACACGUCCAAUUGUUGGGGGAAACUUGCCGAAGGUAAGCUAAUACCGCAUACGUCCUACGGGAGAAAGGAGUCGGACUCUUCGGAGCCUUUCGCUAUUAGAUGAGCCUAGGUCGGAUUAGUUAGUUGGUGAGGUAAUGGCUCACCAAGACCGCGAUCCGUAACUGGUCUGAGAGGAUGAUCAGUCACACUGGAACUGAGACACGGUCCAGACUCCUACGGGAGGCAGCAGUGGGGAAUAUUGGACAAUGGGGGAAACCCUGAUCCAGCCAUGCCGCGUGUGUGAAGAAGGUCUUAGGAUUGUAAAGCACUUUAAGUUGGGAGGAAGGGCAGUUAACUAAUAUUUGACUGUUUUGACGUUACCGACAGAAUAAGCACCGGCUAACUUCGUGCCAGCAGCCGCGGUAAUACGAAGGGUGCAAGCGUUAAUCGGAAUUACUGGGCGUAAAGCGCGCGUAGGUGGUUCGUUAAGUUAGGAGUGAAAGCCCCGGGCUCAACCUGGGAAUUGCUUCUAAAACUGGCGAGCUAGAGUAUGGUAGAGGGUGGUGGAAUUUCCUUGUGUAGCGGUGAAAUGCGUAGAUAUAGGAAGGAACAUCAGUGGCGAAGGCGACCACCUGGACUUAAUACUGACACUGAGGUGCGAAAAGCGUGGGAGAGCAAACAGGAUUAGAUACCCCUGGUAGUCCCACGCCGUUAAACGAUGUCAACUAGUUUGUUGGGGUUCCUUGAGGACUUAAUAACCGCAGCUAAACGCAUUUAAGUUUGACCCGCCUGGGGAAGUACCGGCCGCAAGUGUUAAAACUCAAAUGAUUUGAACGGGGUGGCCCGCACCAGCGGUUGGAA
Molecule: ribosomal RNA, 844 nt
Filed under: uncultured bacterium
Lineage: Bacteria
Description: bacterial SSU rRNA
Rfam family: Bacterial small subunit ribosomal RNA
Source: RNAcentral